RNAcentral lists this ribosomal RNA (503 nucleotides) under uncultured archaeon. RNAcentral describes it as "bacterial SSU rRNA". It matches the Rfam family "Archaeal small subunit ribosomal RNA", at positions 325 to 831 of the family's 1478-position model. The record is from RNAcentral.
ACGGGGUGCAGCAGGCGCGAAACCUUUACAAUGCACGAAAGUGUGAUAAGGGAAUUCCACGUGCAAGCUAUGCUUGCUUUUCUCAAGUUUAAAAUCCUUGGGGAAUAAGGGCUGGGCAAGACCCGUGCCAGCCGCCGCGGUAAUACGGGCAGCUCUAGUGGCGUUCGCGAAUAUUGGGCCUAAAGCGUGCGUAGCCUGUUAAACAAGUUCUUGGUGAAAGCUUGCGACUUAAUCGUGAGAGUUGCCAGGAAAACUGUUCGACUUGGGACCGGAAGAGGUCGGAGGUAUUCUAGGGGUAGGGGUAAAAUCCUGUAAUCCUUAGAGGACCAUCCGGUGGCGAAGGCGUCCGACUGGGACGGGUCCGACGGUGAGGUACGAAAGCUAGGGUCGCGAGCCGGAUUAGACACCCGGGUAGUCCUAUGCUGUAAACGAUGCUCAUUAAGUGUUAGGUAAUGCAAGACGUUACCUAGUGCCGAAGCGAAAGCGUUAAAUGAGCCGCCUGG